UUUUUAAUUUUUCUGUGAUUUAACAUAUGAAGUAUAUGCAAAAUAGCAUAUAAUCUAUUUAUGUGUUUCAUCUGUUUUUAAAUAUGUGCAGGAAGACUGCUUCUACGACCUGCCUUACAAUACUAGGUAUCAAAUUUUUAUGUUACGUUUACGGAAGACAAGGGACAAAAUUAUGAAGUGUACUCUCUAUAUAUGUAGAUAUAUACUUUGAUUGAAGAACUGUGGUAGCUUUAGAUGGUUAAUUGUAAAGAUAAUGAAUGAUUAUGUAG
Molecule: long non-coding RNA, 269 nt
Filed under: Panax ginseng (ginseng)
Lineage: Eukaryota; Viridiplantae; Streptophyta; Magnoliopsida; Apiales; Araliaceae
Description: long non-coding RNA (PGIN_LNC001862)
Source: RNAcentral